Molecule: long non-coding RNA, 614 nt
Filed under: Capsella rubella
Lineage: Eukaryota; Viridiplantae; Streptophyta; Magnoliopsida; Brassicales; Brassicaceae
Description: long non-coding RNA (CRUB_LNC003193)
Source: RNAcentral
GAUGAGAGAGCCUUUGCCAAAUUUAAUUUCUCUGAUAUACCGUUACUCACUCAUUCUUCCUUUUAACCUUUUUAUCUUGUCAUUUUCAAUUUCCAUAUUAAAAUUGUUAAUUUUCAUGGAAUGUGUUAGUCUACUAAAUUAAUUUUUGUUUUGUAAGGAUUAACAAAUUUGAGUCAAGAAAAUUGAAAGGAUUGCUUAUAUAUAGGCAUGAUCUAGUGGGCAUAAUCACACGAAGGAGAGGUUGUAAAGAGCUUUCCCGGGUUCAUAUGGUUUCGAGAUGAGUCAGAUUUUAUAGUCCGUUGACCCGAGAACUAAUUAGGGAGAAAAUUCCCUGCGAGGUGGCUUGGAGUUCAUGGUGUUCGUCGAACCGGAUUAUCCGAGUUAUACUUGGAGUUCAUGGUGUUUGUCGAACCGGAUUAUCCGAGUUAUAAAUAAAUAAAUAAUAAAAAUUGAUAUGAUUGUUUGUGGCAUCUAAGUUUGGAGUAUAUGAAGAAAUUAAAUAAUUUUGCAGAGGAAAAGAGUACUUUGUUGGAUGAGUAUAUAUAAGGACUGAUAGAUUUUUGAUUCGAAAAUUAAAUUGUAAGACAAUAAAAGGGACCACUCAUGAAGGAGGG